Molecule: long non-coding RNA, 2802 nt
Organism: Glycine soja
Lineage: Eukaryota; Viridiplantae; Streptophyta; Magnoliopsida; Fabales; Fabaceae
Exons: 5
Source: RefSeq, a predicted model, not a curated record
UUGAUAUUCCAGAUGCGUCCUACCAAAGGACGAAGAAGAAAAUCCUUAAGACAGUAGGAGAACGAAGAAGGUAGUUUAAGUUAGAUUUGACCUCCAAAUAGGCUCUAGCACAAGGCAAGGAGGAGGGCGAUGACAUUGUCUGUGAGAAGUACGAUAUCAACCAAGGAAAAUGGAACCAAUUUUGGCAGAGUCGUAGAGACCCUUCAUGGGAGGAUGUUAGAAGAAGGCUUAGACUAUUCAGAAACUAAACACUUCCCCUCACGUGUUGUCUCGUGGGGUUAUGAUUUACUAGAAGAAAAGUUAAUGGAGGAAAAACAAAAGAAAAAAUUGGAGCAAGUAGCCUAAUCUGGAAGAAAAAAAAAACAAUCGUUGAUCCUUCAUCUCCCAUUAGACAACACACGAAGUGGAAGAUGACUGGCACAAAAAAAAUAUGAUCAAAUUACAUUUGAGGUGGCACGCGAAAUUGCAGAUAGGAUUGAUUCCUUUGCAGAGCAGUCAGCACAGGGCAACUUUGUCACCCAUGGACAUCAGGAUGUAUUGACUGCCACCAUUGGGCAACCAGAGCACUCCGAUCGUGUCCGUGUUGCAAGAGCCAGUGUGACAAUUAGACAAUACUUUGGACCAGCUUCAGCAAGCUCCCGCACGUCUAUGUUGAUCAACCCAGAAGAGCUACAUCAAUUAACAGAAAAUAUUAUGGAGUAGCUAACACAAAAAAUCAGGGAUGAGUUGGAGCAAUCAAUCACUGAAAAAGUGACUCAACAAUCGAGGUUUGUCUUUCUGUUGCCUGUGUCAGCAUAAAGAGAAGUUGUGUCGAUCCCUCGGGACAGGACCCAAACACAGGUGCAUUAGACAUGUGUGUAUUGUAUGUUGAUGACAAUCCUCCUCGCCUGGUUGCCCUUGGAAGAGUUUAUGAGGGAUUGACAAUCGUCCACAACGUCCCUUUGGGCAAUGAUCAAGUGAAGGUUGGUGUUGGGGAAGUUCGAGAUACUGUUGCCCGCGCCCCUGUACCUACUUAAGAGGUUCAAUUAGUGGGCCAGAUCCUUAAAACCUUUCAUGCUUGGCUAACACUUCUUAUACAACCUUUUUCAAAAUAUGUAUUUCCUCUUGUUGUGUUUGUUAUUAUUAAAAAAGGAUUUGUUACAAAAAAAAGUGUUGACUGUCAUUGACUUAUGUUUAUUAACUGUGUAGGAUAAACAUGAACCUGAGGGACCGACGAAACCUAUAGAUAGGCUAAAACCUGAUGACGAUCCCCUAUACCAGAUGACAUUGAUGAUCCCACAGCUUUUCCUUAAGCCUAUGUAGGUGUCGUGGGAUUCAACUAUGUUUGGGGUGUAUAAUGAUGAUGUCCCCUUGUACACAUAGCAUGAAGAUCUUUCUGAAAUAACACGCGAUGGUCAAUGUCUCAACAUCUUUGUUAUGCAAAUGAGGAUUUUGUAAGUCACUUUAUAUUAUAGUCCAUUACAUAACUGAUUGCUUUAAAUUGAUGCAUAAUUUACUUUAUUUAACAACAAUAGGCAUAUGAAUGAUUUAAGUCUGUGAUCGGGGAAUGCCUUUGUGUAUGGAUUCCUUGAGCCAUAGUCCAUACAGAGAUUUGGGAAAUCGUAAUUUAAAUCUGAGGAUUAUAUUAAGAAACGAAUACAAAAUUCACAUAAAGAUGUCUACCUAGUAUCCUACUUGAAUGGGUAAGUAAAAAUGAACAAAUCAAUUUAAAUAAUGUAUGCACUAUAAUAACUUAAUGUUCUCCAAUGUAGUGCACAUUGGAUACUGGUCGUUAUAUGUCCUAAGGACAAUGUUGUCAUCUGGCUUUGUUCCUUGCACAAUACGCCUGACAACUACUUGAAAAAAGUUAUUAAUAGGUUAGUUGUAUUUUGUAAUACAUUUACUUUAUCAUUAGUAUUUGACAUCAAUAUUUUGAUUGUACAAUAUGCAUGCAUGUUUCUCUUAACCAAUGCUUUGAAGGGAUUCAACGAUAAUCAAGGAAGUAAAUCCAAGGCUACUGCUAAAUGGAUUCUCAUUAAAAGUAAUAAGCAAAGAGGAAACACUAAGUGCGGCUAUUAUGUGAUGCAUUGGAUGUCAACAAUAGUCCUGGGAGGUUUCUAGGAUAAUUGAGAAAUGGUAAUUGGAUGAGGUACUAGAGCAACUGACAAAGGCCAUGAUACAUGAAUCAACAUUCACCUACACUUUAUGCCACUAGGGAUACUCUUUUUCUCUCUUGCUGAGUGUAUUUCUUUUCAAUAUUGUUUUCCUUUUUUAUUGUUUGUUUUACCUUUCUGUGUCAUUUCUUGAAAACCUCAAACAAAAUAAUUUUCUAUAUGAAUGUAUUUAGUUCUGAUUUGCACAAGGCUGGUGUUUGUUGCAUAUUUGUUCGUUCAAAAUAAAUAGUUAUGGAGAUGGGUUUUAUGCACGAAGAGCAUGAGAGUACAGUCCCUAUCCAAGAAACUCCAACAUCUGUACAAAUUUGAAGAAUAGUGAAAUGGCACAUAGACUCUCCUUUUUUAAGGUUAUCAUCAUUUACACAUUUUCCUUCAAGUGGUUUUUUUCAAUUUAUUAGGAACUUACAUGCUAGGGAGGACUAUUUUAUUGAUUUGUUUGGUUACUUCUAGAUUUGUUAUGCAGAGGGACACACCAUCCACGUAUCGAAGUAUUCAAAGAGAGAAAUAAGUUUAUCUUUACAAGGAUAAACUAUCCUCAAGAGAUGAAAAACAAAUAAAACACUAAGGGUUAACCAAGGAAACCAGGAAUGAAGCAAGAAUUCCUCAUACAUCUGCGAUUAAUUUUUUUUCAAUCUUUAAGGACAUCGUU